GCUGGGUGUGGUGGCGCACACCUGUGAUCCGAGUGGAUCAGGAGGCUGAGGCAGGAGGAUUGUGACUUCAAAGCCAGCCUCAGCAAAAGCAAGGCCCUAAGCAACUCAGUGAGACCCUGUCUCUA
Molecule: small RNA, 125 nt
Filed under: Marmota monax (woodchuck)
Lineage: Eukaryota; Metazoa; Chordata; Mammalia; Rodentia; Sciuridae
Source: RNAcentral